AUAUACUAAAAUUUAUACUAAAAAUGGAACAAUGCAGAGAAGAUGAGCACAGCCCCUGCACAAGGAUGACAUGCCAAUUUGUGAAGCAUUCCAUAUUUUU
Apus apus (common swift) is the source of this 100-nucleotide small nuclear RNA. The record is from RefSeq and is a predicted model, not a curated record. Lineage: Eukaryota; Metazoa; Chordata; Aves; Apodiformes; Apodidae.